RNAcentral lists this ribosomal RNA (400 nucleotides) under uncultured bacterium. Its description in RNAcentral is "bacterial SSU rRNA". It matches the Rfam family "Bacterial small subunit ribosomal RNA", at positions 28 to 433 of the family's 1533-position model. The record is from RNAcentral.
GACGAACGCUGGCGGCGUGCUUAACACAUGCAAGUCGAGCGGUAAGGCCCUUUCGGGGGUACACGAGCGGCGAACGGGUGAGUAACACGUGGGUGACCUGCCCUCAGCUCUGGGAUAAGCCUGGGAAACCGGGUCUAAUACCGGAUAUGACUCCAUGACGCAUGUUGUGGGGUGGAAAGCCUUGUGCGGCUGAGGAUGGGCCCGCGGCCUAUCAGCUUGUUGGUGGGGUGAUGGCCUACCAAGGCGACGACGGGUAGCCGGCCUGAGAGGGCGACCGGCCACACUGGGACUGAGACACGGCCCAGACUCCUACGGGAGGCAGCAGUGGGGAAUCUUGCGCAAUGGGCGAAAGCCUGACGCAGCGACGCCGCGUGAGGGAUGACGGCCUGGUGUAACUCUU